GAAGUCUGGGGAUGUUGUUGCUCUUGAUGGCAAGAGCACACUUUUGGGAUCCUCCGUGGCU
Molecule: transfer RNA, 61 nt
Filed under: Eutreptiella gymnastica
Lineage: Eukaryota; Euglenozoa; Euglenophyceae; Eutreptiales; Eutreptiaceae
Source: RNAcentral